Molecule: ribosomal RNA, 465 nt
Filed under: uncultured bacterium
Lineage: Bacteria
Description: partial 16S ribosomal RNA
Rfam family: Bacterial small subunit ribosomal RNA
Source: RNAcentral
GACGAACGCUGGCGGCGUGCUUAACACAUGCAAGUCGAACGGAAAGGCCCCUUUUGGGGUCCUCGAGUGGCGAACGGGUGCGUAACACGUGAGUAACCUGCCCUUGACUUCGGGAUAACUUCAGGAAACUGGGGCUAAUACCGGUUAGGAAUCCUUUCUUCAUGGUCGUGGUUGGAAAGCUUCGGCGGUUUUUGGUGGACUCGCGGCUUAUCCGCUUGUUGCUGGGGUAGUUGCUUACCAAGGCUUUGACGCGUAGCCGGACUGAGAGGGCGACCGGCCACAGUGGGACUGAGAUACGGCACAGACGGCGACGGGAGGGAGAAGGGGGGAAGAUUGAACAAGGGGCGGAAGGCUAAUGCAGAAACGCCGCGGGCGGUAGGACGGGGUUAGUGUUGGAAAACGAAUUCAGCAGGGGCGAAGCGUGUGGUGACGGUACCUGAAGAAGAAGCACCGGCUAACUACGUG